Long non-coding RNA from Sinocyclocheilus rhinocerous, 253 nucleotides. RefSeq lists it as uncharacterized. The transcript has 3 exons. NCBI's taxonomy places the organism in Eukaryota, Metazoa, Chordata, Actinopteri, Cypriniformes, Cyprinidae. The record is from RefSeq and is a predicted model, not a curated record.
GCAAUAAUUUUGAUUCUUAUGACACUUGUAAAAUAACAACCAUGGAAAAAAGGAUGGAAUCUAUGGAGAAUGAAAUGGAGCGACUAAAAACCGAGAACAAAGAACAAGCAGAAGAACUGACGAUUUUGAAUAAAACAACAGUUGACACCAAAAUCAAAAUGGCUGAACUAAUGAAGCAGAAUCAAGCUCCUAAAGUGGCUUUCUCAGCUUCUCUGUUGAGCUCUUUCGGACCACAAAGCGUUGGAGAGUAAUG